UUUCCUUUUACCUUCCUUUUCAUUCCUACGGAACACGGUCGACCUCUUUCCUCUUCCUGCAAUUUCUUCCUGCUCUCUCCGACUGCCGUUCUCUCCCAAAUUACCAACCUUCAAUCGCCCAUCAACCAUUUAGUCAGCCAUCACCCGUGAGCCCAUUUAGGUGGUGAUUAUGAUAAUCCCGUAAGAUUCAUAGAACGAGGAAGAAAAUGGUACCUAUGGAAAUAAAGAAAAAGUAUUUAUUUUCUUGGGCAAGUUAUGAACUCGAACACUCCGUUAUUAACUGCUGGAAUAAAUGGAUCUAUGGAUUCAACAGCUCCCAGAGGAAAUUCCAAGCGACCCAAAUGUAUUUUUUUCUUUUUAAUGCUCUUCUUAAUUUUCUAAACUUAUUUGUUUCUAUUGCUCAAUUGGCAACUGCCGACGUGAUGUUUUAGCCUUGAUUCUUAGUUUUUUGCUCAGAAUUUUGAUUGUUAUGUCAAUCUUUUGUGGGUAUCUUGCAAAUUAACUUAGUUCAAGAAUUGGUUGAAGGUCUAUUCAACUGGUACUAUUUUGAUUAUGUUCUUGCAAGUUCUGUAAGUAUGGAUUUUCUUUAGAAGGUCUAUAUUGAAGUCCAGGUUUAGUGUUUGAAUGUCACCAUUUUACUUGCUUGGUUCUAUAACUUCUAUC
This is a long non-coding RNA of Olea europaea var. sylvestris, 663 nucleotides long. RefSeq lists it as uncharacterized. The transcript has 2 exons. The record is from RefSeq and is a predicted model, not a curated record. NCBI's taxonomy places the organism in Eukaryota, Viridiplantae, Streptophyta, Magnoliopsida, Lamiales, Oleaceae.